RNAcentral lists this ribosomal RNA (149 nucleotides) under Clostridioides difficile. RNAcentral describes it as "partial 16S ribosomal RNA". It matches the Rfam family "Bacterial small subunit ribosomal RNA", at positions 1394 to 1533 of the family's 1533-position model. The record is from RNAcentral. Lineage: Bacteria; Bacillati; Bacillota; Clostridia; Peptostreptococcales; Peptostreptococcaceae.
CCGUCACACCACGGGAGUUGGAGACGCCCGAAGCCGAUUAUCUAACCUUUUGGAAGAAGUCGUCGAAGGGGGAAUCAAUAACUGGGGUGAAGUCGUAACAAGGUAGCCGUAUCGGAAGGGGCGGCUGGAUCACCUCCUUUCUAAGGAGA